GUGUCGUGAGAUGUGGGUUAAGUCCCGCAACGAGCGCAACCCUUGUCACUAGUUGCCAGCAUUAAGUUGGGCACUCUAGUGAGACUGCCGGUGACAAACCGGAGGAAGGUGGGGAUGACGUCAAGUCCUCAUGGCCCUUAUGGGUAGGGGCUUCACACGUCAUACAAUGGUCGGUACAGAGGGUUGCCAAGCCGCGAGGUGGAGCUAAUCCCUUAAAGCCGAUCGUAGUCCGGAUCGUAGUCUGCAACUCGACUACGUGAAGUCGGAAUCGCUAGUAAUCGCAGAUCAGCAUGCUGCGGUGAAUACGUUCCCGGGUCUU
This 319-nucleotide ribosomal RNA is filed under the name uncultured Thauera sp. RNAcentral describes it as "bacterial SSU rRNA". It matches the Rfam family "Bacterial small subunit ribosomal RNA", at positions 1062 to 1382 of the family's 1533-position model. The record is from RNAcentral. Lineage: Bacteria; Pseudomonadati; Pseudomonadota; Betaproteobacteria; Rhodocyclales; Zoogloeaceae.